Molecule: ribosomal RNA, 520 nt
Filed under: uncultured Glomus
Lineage: Eukaryota; Fungi; Glomeromycota; Glomeromycetes; Glomerales; Glomeraceae
Description: SSU rRNA
Rfam family: Eukaryotic small subunit ribosomal RNA
Source: RNAcentral
AGCAGCCGCGGUAAUUCCAGCUCCAAUAGCGUAUAUUAAAGUUGUUGCAGUUAAAAAGCUCGUAGUUGAAUUUCGGGGUUAGUAGGUUGGUCAUGCCUCUGGUAUGUACUGGUCUCACUGAUUCCUCCUUCCUGAUGAGCCGUAAUGCCAUUAAUUUGGUGUUGCGGGGAAUUUGGACUGUUACUUUGAAAAAAUUAGAGUGUUUAAAGCAAGCUAACGCUUGAAUACAUUAGCAUGGAAUAAUGAAAUAGGACGUUCGAUCCUAUUUUGUUGGUUUCUAGGAUUGACGUAAUGAUUAAUAGGGAUAGUUGGGGGCAUUAGUAUUCAAUUGUCAGAGGUGAAAUUCUUGGAUUUAUUGAAGACUAACUACUGCGAAAGCAUUUGCCAAGGAUGUUUUCAUUAAUCAAGAACGAAAGUUAGGGGAUCGAAGACGAUCAGAUACCGUCGUAGUCUUAACCAUAAACUAUGCCGACUAGGGAUCGGAUGAUGUUAAUUUUUUAAUGUACUCAUUCGGCGUACC